Molecule: ribosomal RNA, 465 nt
Filed under: uncultured bacterium
Lineage: Bacteria
Description: partial 16S ribosomal RNA
Rfam family: Bacterial small subunit ribosomal RNA
Source: RNAcentral
GACGAACGCUGGCGGCGUGCUUAACACAUGCAAGUCGUACGGUAAGGCCCUUUCGGGGGUCCACGAGUGGCGAACGGGUGAGUAACACGUGAGUAACCUGCCCACAACUUUGGGAUAACGCUAGGAAACUGGUGCUAAUACUGGAUAUGUGCUCCUGCUGCAUGGUGGGGGUUGGAAAGCUCCGGCGGUUGUGGCUGGACUGGCGGCCUAACCGCUUGUUGGUGGGGUAGUGGCCUACCAAGGCGGCGACGGGGAGCCGCCCUGGGAGGGUGACCGGCCACAUUGGGACUUAGAGAAGGCCCAGACGCCGACGGGUGGCAACAGUGGGGAAGCUUGCACGAGCGGCGCAGGCCUGAUGCAGAAGCUCUGCGGGCGGGAUGACGGUCUUAGUGUGGUAAACCGCUUUCAUCAGGGACGAAGCUUUUUGUGACGGUACCUGAAGAAGAAGCACCGGCUAACUACGUG